UACGAAGGGGGCUAGCGUUGCUCGGAAUCACUGGGCGUAAAGCGCACGUAGGCGGGUUCUUAAGUCAGGGGUGAAAUCCUGGAGCUCAACUCCAGAACUGCCUUUGAUACUGGGAAUCUCGAGUCCGGGAGAGGUGAGUGGAACUGCGAGUGUAGAGGUGAAAUUCGUAGAUAUUCGCAAGAACACCAGUGGCGAAGGCGGCUCACGGGCCCAGUACUGACGCUGAGGUGCGAAAGCGUGGGGAGCAAACAGG
Molecule: ribosomal RNA, 253 nt
Filed under: uncultured bacterium
Lineage: Bacteria
Description: partial 16S ribosomal RNA
Rfam family: Bacterial small subunit ribosomal RNA
Source: RNAcentral